This 207-nucleotide ribosomal RNA is filed under the name uncultured bacterium. RNAcentral describes it as "partial 16S ribosomal RNA". It matches the Rfam family "Bacterial small subunit ribosomal RNA", at positions 568 to 774 of the family's 1533-position model. The record is from RNAcentral.
CCCGUAGGCGGUUCAGCAAGUCGGCUGUGAAAUUCCGAGGCUCAACCUCGGAACUGCAGUCGAUACUGCUGUGACUCGAGUCCGGUAGAGGAGAAUGGAAUUCCCGGUGUAGCGGUGAAAUGCGCAGAUAUCGGGAGGAACACCAGUAGCGAAGGCGGUUCUCUGGGCCGGUACUGACGCUGAGGAGCGAAAGCGUGGGAGCAAACA